AUACGGAGGGUGCAAGCGUUAUUCGGAAUCACUGGGCGUAAAGGACGCGUAGGCGGGUGGCAAGUCAGAUGUGAAAUCCUACAGCUUAACUGUAGAACUGCAUUUGAAACUGCUAACCUAGAGUAUGGGAGGGGGAGAUGGAAUUAGUGGUGUAGGGGUAAAAUCCGUAGAUAUCACUAGGAAUACCGAAAGCGAAGGCGAUCUCCUGGAACAUAACUGACGCUAAGGCGUGAAAGCGUGGGGAGCAAACAGGAUUAGAAACCCUAGUAGUCC
This 273-nucleotide ribosomal RNA is filed under the name uncultured bacterium. RNAcentral describes it as "partial 16S ribosomal RNA". It matches the Rfam family "Bacterial small subunit ribosomal RNA", at positions 523 to 796 of the family's 1533-position model. The record is from RNAcentral.